RNAcentral lists this long non-coding RNA (220 nucleotides) under Manihot esculenta (cassava). RNAcentral describes it as "long non-coding RNA (MESC_LNC011815)". Lineage: Eukaryota; Viridiplantae; Streptophyta; Magnoliopsida; Malpighiales; Euphorbiaceae. The record is from RNAcentral.
CUCUCCUGCUCUCGUCAGAAGACCUUCUCGGGUCUCGUGACGUUCCUUCCCUGCUUGAUCUGUGAGAUCUUGCCCUUGGCAAGGCAGGUGGACGAGCAGCUGUACCCUCACUUACAGGUGGGACUCCAGUCAAUCUCGCGGAUCGACGAGUUCCUCGCAUCUUCACUCUCUGGAAAACAACAAAUCACAUAAUACAUAAGCAACACAUCAAUAAAUGCAC